Molecule: long non-coding RNA, 244 nt
Filed under: Fukomys damarensis (Damara mole-rat)
Lineage: Eukaryota; Metazoa; Chordata; Mammalia; Rodentia; Bathyergidae
Description: lncRNA (ENSFDAG00000023426.1)
Source: RNAcentral
CUGGAAGGUCACUGUUGGACUUGCGCCCCGGGCCCCAGUGAUCCACAUUCCCUAUAAGAAUUCCUGUUCAAACCUGCAUCUGAACCUAAUCCAGCAUUUUGAAGUGACUUCCACUUUAUAGUAAAUAACGAGUAAAUACUGCAGAGAAACAGUAAGUCAUAUCUAAAAUGUGAAACAUUCUCCCAAAGAAAUAGCCAGAUCUCUUCAAAAGGUCAAUGUCAUGUGAAAAAUGUAAAGACAAGAG